RNAcentral lists this ribosomal RNA (497 nucleotides) under uncultured bacterium. RNAcentral's name for it is "partial 16S ribosomal RNA". It matches the Rfam family "Bacterial small subunit ribosomal RNA", at positions 28 to 507 of the family's 1533-position model. The record is from RNAcentral.
GAUGAACGCUGGCGGCGUGCCUAACACAUGCAAGUCGAGCGAACGGACGCGACGCUCGCUUCACUGAUGUUAGCGGCGGACGGGUGAGUAACACGUGGAUAACCUACCUAUACGACUGGGAUAACUUCGGGAAAGUGGAGCUACUACCGGAUGAUAUUUUGAACCGCAUGGUUCAAAAGUGUAAGACGGUCUUGAUGUCACUUCUAGAUGGAUCCGUGCUGCAUUAGUUAGUUGGUAAGGUAACGGCUUACCAAGGCAACGAUGCAUAGCCGACCUGGGAGGGGGUUCGGCGACACGGGAGCUGGGACGCCGUCCAGGCUCCUACGGGAGGCAGCAGUAGGGAAUCGUCCGCAAUGGGCGGAAGCCUGACGGAGCGGCGCCACGUGAGUGAUGAAGGUCUUCGGAGCGGAAAACUGUGUUAUGAUUGAAGAACAUAUGUGUAAGUAACUGAGCACAUCGUGACGGUACCUAAACAAGAAGCACCGGCUAACUACGUG